RNAcentral lists this ribosomal RNA (324 nucleotides) under uncultured eukaryote. Its description in RNAcentral is "partial 18S ribosomal RNA". It matches the Rfam family "Eukaryotic small subunit ribosomal RNA", at positions 1470 to 1796 of the family's 1831-position model. The record is from RNAcentral.
CCCUUAGAUGUUCUGGGCCGCACGCGCGCCACACUGAUGCAUUCAACGAGUUUCUUCCUGGUCCGAGAGGAAUGGGUAACCUUUUGAAAGUGCAUCGUGAUAGGGAUAGACUAUUGCAAUUAUUGGUCUUCAACGAGGAAUUCCUAGUAGACGUAGUUCAUCAGACUACAUCGAUUACGUCCCUGCCCUUUGUACACACCGCCCGUCGCUCCUACCGAUUGAAUGCUCAGGUGAGCCAUUCGGACUUUCAUCAUGCUGGUUUCCAGUUUUGAUGAAGGAAAGUCUUGCGAACCUUAUCAUUUAGAGGAAGGAGAAGUCGUAACA